AUGUUAGAUACGUCGGGUUUAUCCAAGGCAUGGUGGGGGGAGGCUAGAAUGACAUCAUGUCAUGUCCUGAAUAAAGUUCCGACAAAGGAUAACGAGAUCACUCCUUAUGAGAAGUGGACCAAGAGAAGGACAACACUCUCGUACUUACGUACUUGGGGCUGCUUGGCGAAAGUUAAUGUGUCGAUCCCCAAAAAGCGUAAGCUUGGACCAAAGACUGUGGACUGCGUUAAUUUGGGCUACGCUAUGAAUAGUGUUGGCUAUAGAUUUCUAGUAGUGAAAUAUGAGGUACCUGACAUGAAGGUUGGUACAAUUAUGGAGUCUAAGGAUGCUACAUUCUUUGAGGACAUUUUCCCCAUGAGAGAUGUACAAAGCACUUCUAGACAGGAAUCUGAGGAGACUCCUGAGCCUGCCAUUCCUAUGGAAUAUUAUGAACGAACACAUGAUGGGAAUCCUGAGGAGGAUGACGAGGAAACCCUUGGUAGGGGCAAGAAACAAAGGACUGCAAAGACCUUUGGUGAUGAUUUCUUCGUGUACCUCGUGGAUGAUACUCCUACUUCUAUUUCAGAAGCGUAUGCCUCUCCAGAAGCUGACUACUGGAAGGAUGCGGUCCGUAGCGAGAUGGAUUCCAUCAUGGCUAACGGGACAUUGGAGAUCACUGAGCAUCCCUAUGGUUGCAAACCAUUGGGAUGUAAGUGGGUGUUCAAAAAGAAGCUUAGGCCCGAUGGUACGAUUGAAAAGUACAAGGCUAGACUUAUGGCCAAGAGCUAUGACCAGAAAGAAGAGGAAGAUUUCUUCGAUACUUAUUCACUUGUGGCUAGACUGACCACCAUUCGAGUAUUACUCUCGUUGGCGGCCUCGCACGGUCUUCUCGUCCACCAGAUGGAUGUUAAGACGGCUUUUUUGAAUGAAGAGCUAAACGAGGAAAUCUACAUGCAAUAG
This 939-nucleotide ribosomal RNA is filed under the name Triticum aestivum (bread wheat). RNAcentral describes it as "partial small subunit ribosomal RNA". The record is from RNAcentral. Lineage: Eukaryota; Viridiplantae; Streptophyta; Magnoliopsida; Poales; Poaceae.